Molecule: ribosomal RNA, 391 nt
Filed under: Acinetobacter sp.
Lineage: Bacteria; Pseudomonadati; Pseudomonadota; Gammaproteobacteria; Moraxellales; Moraxellaceae
Description: bacterial SSU rRNA
Rfam family: Bacterial small subunit ribosomal RNA
Source: RNAcentral
CUAGUGAGACUGCCUACGCAAGUAGAGAGGAAGGUGGGGAUGACGUCAAAUCAUCACGGCCCUUACGCCUUGGGCCACACACGUAAUACAAUGGCCGGUACAGAGGGCAGCUACACUGCGAAGUGAUGCAAAUCUCGAAAGCCGGUCUCAGUUCGGAUUGGAGUCUGCAACUCGACUCUAUGAAGCUGGAAUCGCUAGUAAUCGCGCAUCAGCCAUGGCGCGGUGAAUACGUUCCCGGGCCUUGUACACACCGCCCGUCAAGCCAUGGAAGUCUGGGGUACCUGAAGUCGGUGACCGUAACAGGAGCUGCCUAGGGUAAAACAGGUAACUAGGGCUAAGUCGUAACAAGGUAGCCGUACCGGAAGGUGCGGCUGGAACAUCUCAUUUUAGA